RNAcentral lists this long non-coding RNA (448 nucleotides) under Trifolium pratense (red clover). Its description in RNAcentral is "long non-coding RNA (TPRA_LNC009670)". Lineage: Eukaryota; Viridiplantae; Streptophyta; Magnoliopsida; Fabales; Fabaceae. The record is from RNAcentral.
UUUUAAACAACGAAAUUUCCCCAAAAUUUUCUAAGUUAAAAAAGGAGGAAACAUACAUGCGAGCAGAAAAUGUAAACAUACAUGCGAGCAGAUAUAGACGAGAAGUUAUAAACAAGCAUAGAUAAAUAAAACGGGCACCUGCCCGGAAUUGUCAUAAAAAUCAUACGGGGACAAAAGCCCACUUGUUUCAAUAUUACAAACCAUGGCUCAAAGGCCCCAAAAUUCAAAAAGACAAAAUAAAAUUACAAUAGAAAGGCCGGGGACAUCUACUCCUCGCACCUAUCCUCCUGCUCGUGCCCGUCGCCUUGCUCGUCUUCUUGACCCUCCUCGAAUGCCACGUCAGCAUCUUCCUCCUCUUCAUCAGAGUCGGCCAGGCCAGCCGGGAUAACAAUCUGGCCAUCCUUGACCUGCCCGUUCACAUGCAUUCCCCGGGUCACCAGCUCCACGU